GCGGGUGUGGCGGAAUUGGCAGACGCGCACGGUUCAGGUCCGUGUGAGGGUAACCUCAUGGGAGUUCAAGUCUCCCCACCCGCACCA
RNAcentral lists this transfer RNA (87 nucleotides) under Actinomycetes bacterium. Its description in RNAcentral is "tRNA-Leu". It matches the Rfam family "tRNA". Rfam says of the family: Transfer RNA (tRNA) molecules are approximately 80 nucleotides in length. Their secondary structure includes four short double-helical elements and three loops (D, anti-codon, and T loops). Lineage: Bacteria; Bacillati; Actinomycetota; Actinomycetes. The record is from RNAcentral.